Molecule: long non-coding RNA, 1677 nt
Organism: Trifolium pratense (red clover)
Lineage: Eukaryota; Viridiplantae; Streptophyta; Magnoliopsida; Fabales; Fabaceae
Exons: 3
Source: RefSeq, a predicted model, not a curated record
CGUCCUCUCUCUCAACUCACCACCCGCGUCGUCCUCUCUCUCACUCGCAGUCGUCCUCUCUCUCACGAACCCUAACUCCAAAUCGAAGCUUCUCUUUCUUUCUCCGGCCUCUACUCUCACGAAUCGAAGCUUGUUUUUCUCUCACCCACAUCUGAAAACGCAGGUACUGAUUCGAAGCUCUCUCUCGUCCCUAAUUGCAGAAUGAAGCUCUCUCUCGUUCCUCUCCCUCCGAUUGAAAACCAAGAGUAUUUGAAAAUGGGUCUGUCAUUCACGAAGCUGUUUAGCCGGCUUUUCGCGAAGAAGGAGAUGGGUAUACUUAUGGUCGGUCUCGAUGCCGCUGGUAAGACCACCAUUCUGUAUGAGCUUAAGCUUGGAGAAAUCGUCACCAUUCCCACCAUUGGGUACUGAUGCUGUCAAAUUGCUGUUUUUGGACUCCGGGUUUUACGUGCUCAAGCUACGCGAACGGAUCAUUAAGAGCAUACUGAACAGCUCGGAAAUGUUGGAAUCGCAGGUGGGUUCCUUUAGAUAAACUCUCACUUAAUAGAGUAGUCUUAUUAGUUUUCCCCAAAAUCCAACUAUGCAUGUUAACUUAAGUUUUAGGGAUUAAUUAGGGAGAACUCAUGAAAUGACUUAAUUAAUGAAUUGAAUAUGCCCUACAUGUUGGAAUGUUGUUGAUUCGUGGAACUUAGCAUAAACUGAAUGAUAUAUAAACUGUUUUGGAAUGGUAAGUGCUGCUGAAUGUUGCAGGUUGUGUGUUUGAGCAGGUUCACAUAGCUAUGAAUCAAUGCAUGUGUUUUCCAGAGCUUAGAAACUGUGUGUUCUGAGUCUAUGAAUCGGUGCAUGCUAUACUUGAACCGGUGCAUAGGCUUCAGGAUGUGUUUUAUAAAAACCUGGAAAACGUGUGAAUCGGUGCAUACCCUGUAUGAGUGACUCAAACAUGGCCUGGACAGAGUUUGAAUCGGCACAUAGAUAGUAUGCACCGGAGCAUGGAACUUCAGAAUCACUAUUUUUGCAACAAACUCAGUUACAUGAACCGGUGCAAAGUCUUAUGAACCGAUGCAACCUGAGACCAUUAUGCUUUUGAUUUAUGGAUGGAGGUUAUGUCAACUAAUUUAAUUUAACUAAAAACCCUCCGUCACGAAUAAUAUUUUAUAAAAACAAUAAGUGUCUAAAUUCCACGAUUACGGAUUUUCUACAUGUUUAAAAUCAGUACACUUAGAAUUUAAUCAGGAUGAUUAGGAUAGUUAGAAAUAUCCUCGGGAAGGGUUGAUGGGCAGGUUAAUGCGAUUUAGAUUCUUAAGACAGUUGAUCAGAUUAUGGUGGUUGAUCCCGAACCACAGAUUAUCUAGCCUUUGGCUAAGAGUCUAGCUUUUGCUAUGAGGGAUUCUUCACUUUUAGUGGGAAUCAAGUUAUUUAAUUUGUGAGCUGAGGUGGUUCUCUGAUCUACAUUUAAUAUCAGGAACUACAGUCAGGCCUUCGAGACCCGCUCACCUCGAAGUGUCCGUGAGUUAUAAAAUUAAUCAAGAUAAUAAAUUUUGUGAUACACCUUUAUUUAUGUUUAAGCUAUUCAAUUAUGAAUAUGAGUUAUUUUAGUGAUCAACUGAUUUAUGUAUGAGCCCCCGGUGUAGUCACCACCGUAGUUGGGGUAGCAGGAGCUCACUGAGGCUUAGUAGUCUC